This 342-nucleotide ribosomal RNA is filed under the name Triticum aestivum (bread wheat). RNAcentral's name for it is "partial small subunit ribosomal RNA". The record is from RNAcentral. Lineage: Eukaryota; Viridiplantae; Streptophyta; Magnoliopsida; Poales; Poaceae.
AUGCCGGUAGCGAGGUCAGCCAGACCGAAUGCGGCACCGUCGUCCAGACCGAGCGAGGCGCGUACGAGCCAUGAGCAAUGGAGGGAGGGUCCGAGUACUAGAACGACAUUUCCACGACAUGACUCAUCUCUGCCGCUGCAUCGCUCUUCUUCGAUGCAGCUUCGUCAGGGGCAGACAUCUCAGGCCAUGGCACGGGCUUGGAUUCGAUGCCCGAGCAGUUUCUUUCCCCUAACCCAUAUGCGUACACAGGAUAUGAUGCAUACACCCAAGGUGAGGGAUCUCAGCCGUAUCUCUCCACGCGAGGGAUCCCCAUGCCCGAGGAGACUCGUGUACCAGAUUUAA